CAAAAUAAUAUUCAUCACCUUAUUUAUUUAAAUGAAUACAUUUACUGGAAUUGAAACAAAUUCAAACAAAAAUGAGUAAAAUAUGUCUCAGAUUUGAUUGAAUAUAAUUACUCUUGCACUGAAGAGGGAAAAGUUUUAAAUCUUUUAUUUCUUUACACCAACUUUAAAA
Molecule: long non-coding RNA, 169 nt
Organism: Sphaeramia orbicularis (orbiculate cardinalfish)
Lineage: Eukaryota; Metazoa; Chordata; Actinopteri; Kurtiformes; Apogonidae
Exons: 3
Source: RefSeq, a predicted model, not a curated record